RNAcentral lists this ribosomal RNA (471 nucleotides) under uncultured bacterium. RNAcentral's name for it is "partial 16S ribosomal RNA". It matches the Rfam family "Bacterial small subunit ribosomal RNA", at positions 28 to 507 of the family's 1533-position model. The record is from RNAcentral.
GACGAACGCUGGCGGCGUGCUUAACACAUGCAAGUCGAACGAUGAAGCCUAGCUUGCUAGGUGGAUUAGUGGCGAACGGGUGAGUAAUACGUGAGUAACCUACCUUUAACUCUGGGAUAAGCCCGGGAAACUGGGUCUAAUACCGGAUACGACCAAUCUCCGCAUGGGGUGUUGGUGGAAAGCGUUAUGUAGUGGUUAUAGAUGGGCUCACGCCCUAUCAGCUUGUUGGUGAGGUAACGGCUCACCAAGGCGACGACGGGUAGCCGGCCUGAGAGGGUGACCGGCCACACUGGGACUGAGACACGGCCCAGACUCCUACGGGAGGCAGCAGUGGGGAAUAUUGCACAAUGGGCGCAAGCCUGAUGCAGCGACGCCGCGUGAGGGAUGACGGCCUUCGGGUUGUAAACCUCUGUUAGCAGGGAAGAAGAGAGAUUGACGGUACCUGCAGAGAAAGCGCCGGCUAACUACGUG